Molecule: ribosomal RNA, 1431 nt
Filed under: Streptomyces atratus
Lineage: Bacteria; Bacillati; Actinomycetota; Actinomycetes; Kitasatosporales; Streptomycetaceae
Description: bacterial SSU rRNA
Rfam family: Bacterial small subunit ribosomal RNA
Source: RNAcentral
AACAUGCAGUCGACGAUGAAGCCUUUCGGGGUGGAUUAGUGGCGAACGGGUGAGUAACACGUGGGCAAUCUGCCCUUCACUCUGGGACAAGCCCUGGAAACGGGGUCUAAUACCGGAUAACACUCUGUCCCGCAUGGGACGGGGUUAAAAGCUCCGGCGGUGAAGGAUGAGCCCGCGGCCUAUCAGCUUGUUGGUGGGGUGAUGGCCUACCAAGGCGACGACGGGUAGCCGGCCUGAGAGGGCGACCGGCCACACUGGGACUGAGACACGGCCCAGACUCCUACGGGAGGCAGCAGUGGGGAAUAUUGCACAAUGGGCGAAAGCCUGAUGCAGCGACGCCGCGUGAGGGAUGACGGCCUUCGGGUUGUAAACCUCUUUCAGCAGGGAAGAAGCGAGAGUGACGGUACCUGCAGAAGAAGCGCCGGCUAACUACGUGCCAGCAGCCGCGGUAAUACGUAGGGCGCAAGCGUUGUCCGGAAUUAUUGGGCGUAAAGAGCUCGUAGGCGGCUUGUUGCGUCGGUUGUGAAAGCCCGGGGCUUAACCCCGGGUCUGCAGUCGAUACGGGCAGGCUAGAGUGUGGUAGGGGAGAUCGGAAUUCCUGGUGUAGCGGUGAAAUGCGCAGAUAUCAGGAGGAACACCGGUGGCGAAGGCGGAUCUCUGGGCCAUUACUGACGCUGAGGAGCGAAAGCGUGGGGAGCGAACAGGAUUAGAUACCCUGGUAGUCCACGCCGUAAACGUUGGGAACUAGGUGUUGGCGACAUUCCACGUCGUCGGUGCCGCAGCUAACGCAUUAAGUUCCCCGCCUGGGGAGUACGGCCGCAAGGCUAAAACUCAAAGGGAAUUGACGGGGGGCCCGCACAAGCAGCGGAGCAUGUGGCUUUAAUUUCGACGCAACGCGAGAACCUUACCAAGGCUUGACAUAUACCGGGAAAGCAUCAGAGAUGGUGCCCCCCUUGUGGUCGGUAUACAGGUGGUGCAUGGCUGUCGUCAGCUCGUGUCGUGAGAUGUUGGGUUAAGUCCCGCAACGAGCGCAACCCUUGUUCUGUGUUGCCAGCAUGCCCUUCGGGGUGAUGGGGACUCACAGGAGACUGCCGGGGUCAACUCGGAGGAAGGUGGGGACGACGUCAAGUCAUCAUGCCCCUUAUGUCUUGGGCUGCACACGUGCUACAAUGGCCGGUACAAUGAGCUGCGAUGCCGCGAGGCGGAGCGAAUCUCAAAAAGCCGGUCUCAGUUCGGAUUGGGGUCUGCAACUCGACCCCAUGAAGUCGGAGUUGCUAGUAAUCGCAGAUCAGCAUUGCUGCGGUGAAUACGUUCCCGGGCCUUGUACACACCGCCCGUCACGUCACGAAAGUCGGUAACACCCGAAGCCGGUGGCCCAACCCCUUGUGGGAGGGAGCUGUCGAAGGUGGGACUGGCGAUUGGACGAAGUCG